This 253-nucleotide ribosomal RNA is filed under the name uncultured bacterium. Its description in RNAcentral is "partial 16S ribosomal RNA". It matches the Rfam family "Bacterial small subunit ribosomal RNA", at positions 524 to 776 of the family's 1533-position model. The record is from RNAcentral.
UACGAACCGUGCGACCGUUGUUCGGAUUCACUGGGCUUAAAGGGCGCGUAGGCGGGGGAUCAAGUCCGGGGUGAAAUCCUUCAGCUCAACUGGAGAAUAGCCUUGGAUACUGGUCGCCUCGAGGGAGGUAGGGGCGGGCGGAACUUCCGGUGGAGCGGUGAAAUGCGUAGAUAUCGGAAGGAACGCCGGUGGCGAAAGCGGCCCGCUGGACCUCUUCUGACGCUGAGGCGCGAAAGCCAGGGGAGCGAACGGG